UACGUAUGGUGCAAGCGUUAUCCGGAUUUACUGGGUGUAAAGGGGGCGCAGACGGCGAUGCAAGCCAGGAGUGAAAGCCCGGGGCCCAACCCCGGGACUGCUCUUGGAACUGCAUGGCUGGAGUACAGGAGGGGCAGGCGGAAUUCCUAGUGUAGCGGUGAAAUGCGUAGAUAUUAGGAGGAACACCGGUGGCGAAGGCGGCCUGCUGGACUGUGACUGACGUUGAGGCCCGAAGGCGUGGGGAGCAAACAGG
RNAcentral lists this ribosomal RNA (253 nucleotides) under uncultured bacterium. RNAcentral's name for it is "partial 16S ribosomal RNA". It matches the Rfam family "Bacterial small subunit ribosomal RNA", at positions 524 to 776 of the family's 1533-position model. The record is from RNAcentral.